AACGCUGGCGGCAUGCCUAAUACAUGCAAGUCGAACGAGAGUAGCAAUACUCUAGUGGCGAACGGGUGAGUAACACGUAGGAAACCUACCUCAAAGACGAGGAUAACUACUGGAAACGGUAGCUAAAACUGGAUAGGAUAUACAAAGGCAUCUUAGUAUAUUUAAAAGUCCUUCUGGGAAUGCUAUGAGAUGGUCCUGCGGCGCAUUAGCUAGUUGGUGAGGUAAAGGCCCACCAAGGCGACGAUGCGUAGCUGUGCUGAGAGGCAAAACAGCCACACUGGGACUGAGACACGGCCCAGACUCCUACGGGAGGCAGCAGUAGGGAAUUUUCGGCAAUGGGCGAAAGCCUGACCGAGCAAUGCCGCGUGAAUGAAGAAAUUCUUCGGAAUGUAAAAUUCUGUGGUGAGGGAAGAAAGGUAUUAGAAGGAAAUGGCUAAUAUUUGACGGUACCUUACUAGAAAGCCCCGGCUAACUAUGUGCCAGCAGCCGCGGUAAUACAUAGGGGGCAAGCGUUAUCCGGAAUUAUUGGGCGUAAAGCGUGCGUAGGCGGCCACUUAAGUCUGUCGUGAAAGCCCACAGCUUAACUGUGGAGGGUCGAUGGAAACUGAGAGGCUUGAAUCUAGGAGAGGUAAGUGGAAUUCCAUGUGUAGCGGUAAAAUGCUUAGAUAUAUGGAGGAACACCAGUGGCGAAGGCGGCUUACUGGUCUAGAAUUGACGCUGAUGCACGAAAGCGUGGGUAGCAAACAGGAUUAGAUACCCUGGUAGUCCACGCCGUAAACGAUGAGCACUAAGUGUCGGACGUAAGUUCGGUGCUGAAGUUAACGCAUUAAGUGCUCCGCCUGGGGAGUACGGUCGCAAGACUGAAACUCAAAGGAAUUGACGGGGACUCGCACAAGCGGUGGAGCAUGUGGUUUAAUUCGACGCAACGCGAAAAACCUUACCAGGCCUUGACAUACCGAUGACGUCUUUAGAGAUAGAGAGUUACCUUCGGGUACAUCGGAUACAGGUGGUGCAUGGUUGUCGUCAGCUCGU
Molecule: ribosomal RNA, 1032 nt
Filed under: human gut metagenome
Description: bacterial SSU rRNA
Rfam family: Bacterial small subunit ribosomal RNA
Source: RNAcentral